GUUUAGGGGCAGUUUCACUUGUUGAGGGCAUUUUUUGGGCUUUUUUUACUUGGUGAGGGCAGGUUUGGGGGUAGUUUUACAAGAGGAUAUGAGGUUUUGGGCUACUUUUCACCCAGGGUGGUAGAUUUGGGGACAGUUUUCCUUGGUGAGGAAAGGUUUUGGGCUGUCUUUUGCCCGGGGCCGGUAGAUUUGGGGGUAAUUUUUCUCAUUGAGGGCAGGUUUGGGGGUAGUUUUUCUAGGUAAGUGUCAAUUAGGAGUGAAAUUUUGGCCCUUUUUUUUUUUUUUUAAAAUCCAGGGGAGGGCAGGUUUGAGGCAGUUUUACUUGGUAAGGGUAGAUUUGGGGGCAGUUUUACCCAGGGAGAGCAGGUUUAAGGGUACUUUUAUUCGAAAAGGGCAG
This is a long non-coding RNA of Amphiprion ocellaris (clown anemonefish), 397 nucleotides long. The record is from Ensembl. NCBI's taxonomy places the organism in Eukaryota, Metazoa, Chordata, Actinopteri, Pomacentridae.